GCGAGCGAAGCGGGAAGAGCUCAAAUUUAUAAUCUGGCACCUUCGGUGUCCGAGUUGUAAUCUCUAGAAGUGUUUUCCGCGUUGGACCGCACACAAGUCUGUUGGAAUACAGCGGCAUAGUGGUGAAACCCCCGUAUAUGGUGCGGACGUCCAGCGCUUUGUGAUACACUUUCAAUGAGUCGAGUUGUUUGGGAAUGCAGCUCAAAUUGGGUGGUAAAUUCCAUCUAAAGCUAAAUAUUGGCGAGAGACCGAUAGCGAACAAGUACCGUGAGGGAAAGAUGAAAAGCACUUUGGAAAGAGAGUUAACAGUACGUGAAAUUGUUGGAAGGGAAACGCUUGAAGUCAGACUUGCUUGCCGGAGCUUGCUUCGGUUUGCAGGCCAGCAUCAGUUUUCCGGGGUGGAUAAUGACGGUUUGAAGGUAGCAGUCUCGGCUGUGUUAUAGCUUUCCGUUGGAUACAUCCUGGGGGAC
This 470-nucleotide ribosomal RNA is filed under the name Rhodotorula sp. RNAcentral's name for it is "partial large subunit ribosomal RNA". It matches the Rfam family "Eukaryotic large subunit ribosomal RNA", at positions 89 to 562 of the family's 3401-position model. Lineage: Eukaryota; Fungi; Basidiomycota; Microbotryomycetes; Sporidiobolales; Sporidiobolaceae. The record is from RNAcentral.